Molecule: small RNA, 76 nt
Filed under: Xanthomonas fragariae
Lineage: Bacteria; Pseudomonadati; Pseudomonadota; Gammaproteobacteria; Lysobacterales; Lysobacteraceae
Description: sX9 sRNA
Rfam family: Xanthomonas sRNA sX9
Source: RNAcentral
AUGCCCCCUUCGUGCACUCCGGUUCUGAGCGCGCCGUCCACACUCACCUGAGGACUGCUCGCUCGUUUUGUUAGCC